This 493-nucleotide ribosomal RNA is filed under the name uncultured bacterium. Its description in RNAcentral is "bacterial SSU rRNA". It matches the Rfam family "Bacterial small subunit ribosomal RNA", at positions 28 to 517 of the family's 1533-position model. The record is from RNAcentral.
GAUGAACGCUAGCGGCAGGCCUAAUACAUGCAAGACGAACGGUAAGUUGAGUAGCAAUACUUAGCCAAGAGUGUCGUACGGGUGCGUAACACGUAUGCAACCUACCCUAUACAGGAGGAUAGCCUAGGGAAACCUGGAUUAACCCUUCAUAGUAUUAUUGGAUGGCAUCAUUUGAUAAUUAAAACUGAGGUGGUAUAGGAUGGGCAUGCGUCUGAUUAGUUAGUUGGCGGGGUAAUGGCCCACCAAGACGAUGAUCAGUAGGGGUUCUGAGAGGAAGAUCCCCCACACUGGCACUGAGAUACGGGCCAGACUCCUACGGGAGCAGCAGUAGGGAAUAUUGGGUCAAUGGAUGCGAGUCUGAACCAGCCAUGCCGCGUGCAGGAAGAAGGCCUUCUGGGUUGUAAACUGCUUUUGCCAGGGGAUAAAAUUUCCAUGCGUGGAAAACUGAAGGUACCUGGUGAAUAAGCCACGGCUAACUACGUGCCAGCAGCCG